Molecule: ribosomal RNA, 380 nt
Filed under: uncultured eukaryote
Lineage: Eukaryota
Description: partial 18S ribosomal RNA
Rfam family: Eukaryotic small subunit ribosomal RNA
Source: RNAcentral
CAAUAGCGUAUAUUAAAGUUGUUGCGGUUAAAAAGCUCGUAGUUGGAUUUCUGCUGAGGACGAUCGGUCCGCCCACUGGGUGAGUAUCUGGCUCGGCCUUGGCAUCUUCUUGGAGAACGUUGCUGCACUUGACUGUGUGGUGCGGUAUCCAGGACUUUUACUUUGAGGAAAUUAGAGUGUUUCAAGCAGGCGCACGCCUUGAAUACAUUAGCAUGGAAUAAUAAGAUAGGACCUUGGUUCUAUUUUGUUGGUUUCUAGGGCUGAGAUAAUGAUUAAUAGGGAUAAUUGGGGGCAUCUGUAUCAACGCGUCAGAGGUGGAAUUCUUGGAUUGCGUUGCGACAAACUACUGCGAAAGCAUUUGCCAAGGAUGUUUUCAUUGA